This 4454-nucleotide long non-coding RNA is filed under the name Lupinus angustifolius (narrow-leaved blue lupine). Its description in RNAcentral is "long non-coding RNA (LANG_LNC002852)". The record is from RNAcentral. Lineage: Eukaryota; Viridiplantae; Streptophyta; Magnoliopsida; Fabales; Fabaceae.
AGUAGUUUUUCUAUCAAUGUUAUCUGUUAAAAUGAACUUCCAUACGCAUGAUUUAUGAAUUAUGAUAAAAUGCAAUGGUAUGGUUUGAUCCAUGUAGCCGAUAGCCGAUAGCCGACCUUAACUAGUGAAAAAAGGCUUUGAUUGUUAUAAAAGCUAAUUAUGUACUUAGAUUUUCUUAUAGCCAGUUCAAUUUAACAAUGCUUGAUUUGUUCUGUUCAUUUCUAAAACUUUCCUUCCUACUUGUGCAGCUUGUUUUGGUCAAUCCUGGAAGUGAGGUGAUGAAGAAACUGAACAAAUCCAAAUUCCAAAUGGAUUUAGGGCAGAAGUGGUUCUAUCUGACAGUUGCAGAGGCUGUUGGAGCAUGCAACUAUAUGCUGCACGCAUGCAAACCAAAUUCUGUGAAAGAUGAACAAGAGGGUUGGAACAAUGUCUAAGUCAUAUUUCAAGGCAUGUUUUCAAGAUCUCUUGCAAAGCUUGGUCGUUUUAGUCUCAGCAAAAUUACCAUCACAAUAUGUAUAUGUUUCAUGAGAGUUUGUGAAUCAUGUUGUACAAGAUUUCGGGUCAUAGGAAAAUGAAAGAUGCAUGUAUGUUUUAAUGUCUGAAACAUGCAUCCUGAGUUGGAACUAAAUCUUCUACAUAGUCUGUUGAAUAUUAUGUAUUGCGCUUGAUAAAUUAAUCAAAUGGAAAGUAAAUGCUACGAGAAUUCAAAUUGUUCCUUAUGAAAUUUCCGAGAACUAGACCAAAUUAAAGUGGCAUGCUAAUUAUAAGUUCUUAGCCUUAUUCAAUAACAUGCAUAUCCUUCGGCAAAAUUACUCAAUAAAGCUCAUCUAAAAUAAACUUUCCUAUUGCAUCACCUUGCUAUGGGAGGAGACAAUGUAAUGCACUAAAGAGGAAUAAUAAUACCAAAUAAAGACUAUGUUCCUUUAAAGCACAAAAAAAUGAUUCAUAACUGAUAAUUUUACAGUUUUACACUAGAUUAAAGUAGGAGACUAUUUUAUAUUUUUAAAAAAACUCAUCUUUAAUCCUAAUAAUUAAUUUAGGGGGAAAUACAGCGCAAUCUUGAGUUGAUGCUUUUAAUAUUGAAUCAAACUUUUUAAUAUUUUUAGAAUGAACUUUACAUUUUAUCUCCUUUAAAUAUAGGACAACUGUGUACUCAUUUUAGGUCUCUUAAAUAAUUGGGUAGUUAGUGACUUAGUAUUCAGUAAAAAAGGUGAUAAACCACUCAUUAAAAGUCAUUAAACAUGUAAAUGUAUUUAUUUUCUUAUACAGUAUAAUUGAACUACAAAACAGUCUGAGUCCACAGCAAGAGGUCUACUAUAUAUUUAUAUUAGCUACCACAGGACUAGCUUUGUUCACUCCAUAUGUAGCAUAUCCCGUAAUAGGAAAGGCUCCACUGCAUCCCCAAAGUUGGAGGUUCGAUUCUUGAGAGUGACACUUGUUAGGAGGGGCAGUCAUGAAUUCUGAGAGAGAUUAGUUCCUUACCCAAAAAUGUAAGGGAUACCCUUGGUAGUAUCAAAAAAAAUAUUCCAUAAUAGGAAAUAGUGAAUGAUCCUCUUCUUAUGCUCAAUGGAUGUGAACUUCUCUAGAAAUCAAAUAUGGCAAAAAAGAUUACCAAGAACUUCAAGAAAUGCAUUUCUUGCAUUUUAGGCUGAAGAAAGGAUUCUUAAGACAAGCAAAAACACAAACAAAAGAUAAAGAUAAGUGCAUGUUACCAAAAUGCUAAAGAAAGCAAUAAACAAAACAUGAAUCAUUCAUCUAAACCAGAGAUAAAAAAAAGAGGCAGGGGAUUAUUCAGAGUUGGAAGGGGAAAAAAGAAAUGAAGUUCAUCCUAGCCUCUUCUGAUUAAAUGAGGCACAAAAUGUACAGCAUCAAAAUAUGUAAAAUCUUGAACCAUCUAUAGAAAGGAAAAUUUACAGACAAGAAAGCUAAUGUCUGACUUGUCUCAUGCACCUUCUAAACUAUGCUAACAAUCGGCCAAUAAAAGUUUGGCAACUCAAUCUCUAUGGGUGAGAGGUUCCACACAUGCACAAAAGGUUGCUCUCUUCUUCUGGUUGUUGGUUCUAGUCCCACCAUAGAGAUAAUCUCGUAAAAGAACUCUUGGACUUCGAUGAUCAGCAACUUUUGUUUUUUCUUUGCUUUCUUUUCUACCAUCCAGUUUCAGAAGCAGAAACUGCAGUCUUUGCACCUCCAACUGCAGCCUUCCUAUUUUUUCUGACCCUCUUCGCGCAUGCUCCAUUACUCUCCUUUUGCUGACACUUCCAAUCUCCCCGGACUCGAACACUGCCUUCUCGUCGAAAGACAUGAUACUAUCUUCCACAUUCUUCUUUAACUUUUGGUUGCCAUCAAACAACUUUGUGAUGGUUUCCUGAGCAGCUUCAAUCUGAUCUUUCACAGAAUUGUACUCAACACCUUUUCCCUUUUUGCUAGUUCCCAUAAUUUCCACCUUCUUCACCAAAUCCAGUAUGGUUAUUUGAAUGUUUGUUAGCUUUUGUGCAUCAGAAUCAAGUCUUUCUAAAACUUUGCUCUUGUUUCCCACUUCAUGUGGUUGUCCAAACAAAAGAGAACAACAAGAGUAACCACAUAAUCAUUGUUCUUAACGAAAUAAGAAUAUUCUUAUUCUGUUCUCGAUUGUGUUAUUCUUAUUUUCUGAUUUUUGUUAUUAAAUAAGAACAAUUCUUGGUUGUUCUCAGCCAAGGGAAAGUAAAGAGAAAAAAAGGUAAAUAUUAUGAUGCUCAAAUAAAAAUAAAUAAGAAUGAUGUUUAUCGUUGUGAAAAAAAAUUAUUAAGUUAUAUAGAAUAAUGUGACACUAAAAAAGAAUGAAGAUUAUGGUGGAGAUGCUCUAAUUUUCAUCCUAUUCUUUCCAUUUAACCCUCCCUCUGUCAUUUCAUCCCACUAUUCCCAGAUUUCUACACAUUAGCAUUAGCAUGUCACAUAUUAUUUUCCUAAUUGAAAAGGAUGAAAAGUGAGAGAUAGGAAUUGAGAAGAAAAAAAGAAAAAAUAAUUAAAAUAUAAUGGACUACUGGCCUCAAUUCAUAUAAUAGAGUGGCCACAAUAUUUGAAUACAAUUUCUUAAGAAUUGAUGAUAUUGUGCAGGAAGGAAUAGCAGUUGGAAGAAGCUUUGCAAUGUUCAAAAAUUACCAUAUUGAUGGAAACAAAGAGAUGAUAGCUAUUGGCACCAUGAAUAUUGUUGGUUCUUUCACCUCAUGCUACCUCACCACAGGUAAAGUUUUUAUUAAUUAUUGAUACUAAGUGCCCAAUUAAUUUUCAGCAUCAAUUAUGCUAUCAAAUGUUGCAUUAAUAACAUCAAUAUUAUUUCAGGGCCUUUUUCACGUUCUGCUGUGAACUACAAUGCUGGAUGCAAGACUGCAGCAUCAAAUAUUGUAAUGUCAAUUGCAGUGAUGGUGACAUUGUUAUGCUUAACACCUUUGUUCCAUUACACUCCUCUAGUGGUUCUAUCAGCCAUAAUUGUAUCUGCAAUGCUUGGCCUCAUAGAUUAUGAAGCUGCCAUCCAUCUUUGGAAGAUUGACAAAUUUGACUUUGUGAUUUGCAUCAGUGCAUAUAUUGGUGUGGUCUUUGGCAGUGUUGAAAUUGGCUUAAUCGUUGCAGUAUGUAUAAAUCUGAAUUUAAUAUGUCAGUUUUUGCUUUUAUUAUAAAGGUUUAUGAAACUAAUAUGUACUUUUCUUUGCAUAUUCAGGUUGCAUUAUCUUUACUUAGGAUACUUUUAUUUAUUGCAAGGCCAAGGACAUUUGUUUUGGGAAACAUUCCAAAUUCUGUGAUAUACAGAAAUGUUGAGCAAUAUCCAAAUGCAAAUCAUGUUCCUGGAAUUCUAAUUCUAAAGAUUGAUGCACCAAUUUACUUUGCCAAUGCAAGCUAUUUAAGAGAAAGGUAAUUAAGCUACCUGAAUUUUUGAGUUUUACUCUUGCAUGCAAACAAUCCUAACAGUGAAGUGGAAAUAGGAUUACAAGGUGGAUUGAUGAAGAGGAAGACAGAAUUAAAGCUACAGGGGAAACAAGUUUGCAAUAUGUUAUAAUGGAUAUGACUGGUAAGUGAUGGAUCUGUAAAACAAAGUAACUUGCAAACUGGUUAUUAGAAUUUACAUUCUAACUUUCAAUGUAAUUUUAUUGGCAGCUGUUGGGAACAUUGAUACAAGUGGAAUCAGCAUGCUUGAAGAGGUCAAAAAGAUUGCAGACAGAAGAGAGCUACAAGUAGUUUUUCUAUCAAUGUUAUCUGUUAAAAUGAACUUCCAUACGCAUGAUUUAUGAAUUAUGAUAAAAUGCAAUGGUAUGGUUUGAUCCAUGUAGCCGAUAGCCGAUAGCCGACCUUAACUAGUGAAAAAAGGCUUUGAUUGUUAUAAAAGCUAAUUAUGUACUUAGAUUUUCUUAUAGCCAGUUCAAUUUAACAAUGCUUGAUUUGUUCUGUUCAUUUCUAAAACUUUCCUUCCUACUUGUGCAGCU